RNAcentral lists this ribosomal RNA (495 nucleotides) under uncultured bacterium. Its description in RNAcentral is "partial 16S ribosomal RNA". It matches the Rfam family "Bacterial small subunit ribosomal RNA", at positions 29 to 506 of the family's 1533-position model. The record is from RNAcentral.
AUGAACGCUGGCGGCGUGCCUAAUACAUGCAAGUCGAGCGAACAGACGAGGAGCUUGCUCCUCUGACGUUAGCGGCGGACGGGUGAGUAACACGUGGAUAACCUACCUAUAAGACUGGGAUAACUUCGGGAAACCGGAGCUAAUACCGGAUAAUAUAUUGAACCGCAUGGUUCAAUAGUGAAAGACGGUUUUGCUAUCACUUAUAGAUGGAUCCGCGCCGCAUUAGCUAGUUGGUAAGGUAACGGCUUACCAAGGCGACGAUGCGUAGCCGACCUGAGAGGGUGAUCGGCCACACUGGAACUGAGACACGGUCCAGACUCCUACGGGAGGCAGCAGUAGGGAAUCUUCCGCAAUGGGCGAAAGCCUGACGGAGCAACGCCGCGUGAGUGAUGAAGGUCCUCGGAUCGUAAAACUCUGUUAUUAGGGAAGAACAAAUGUGUAAGUAACUAUGCACGUCUUGACGGUACCUAAUCAGAAAGCCACGGCUAACUACGU